RNAcentral lists this transfer RNA (54 nucleotides) under Frullania stylifera. RNAcentral's name for it is "partial tRNA-Leu". The record is from RNAcentral. Lineage: Eukaryota; Viridiplantae; Streptophyta; Jungermanniopsida; Porellales; Frullaniaceae.
CGGACUAAUCCGUUGGCUUUAUAGACCAUGAGGGUUCAAGUCCCUCUACCCCCA